UUUUUUACAAUGUGGGGGACCAAUAUGGCUGCUUGGUGGCUUCAAAACAACACCACCCUGUCAGUUAUCUAGGGUUAAUACAUAUCAUUGGUAAGCCCUUACUACCAAUGCGAGAAGUGAGCUCAAGAUGCUUUUAAAACAUCAUGCCAUCGAAUAUUACCUUAAUGCUUGUAGCAGCAUGCCACUGAUGUGCGGCUCAUUACCUCUAGACAUUGGCCAUUUCAUUUCACGGGCUCGGUUUUCAUUAGCUGUCCGGGCCUCCUGCCCAUUAACUAAAUUAAGGCUUGGAUGCAAACUUCUGGCUCCAAGCAAGACCUCUGGGCUGCUUAACUGGGCCAGUGAGCUUCACUGACAGAGGGACACAUUUAUUCCAAACCAAGGCCUGACUCAGCCAUGAGAAAGGGGGUGGAUGAGAGAGAGAGAGAGACAGGGAGAGAGACAGGGAGAGAGAGACAGAAAAAGAAACGCAGAGAGUAAAAAAAGAGCUAGAGAAAGCAACGGAGGGGUGUGUCUGAGAUGACCAUAACAUCCAAUUUACAUACAUUACCGUCACACAGCCACAGGAAAUGAAAUAAACAUAAGUCCCAGCAGAGAGUCCUAGCCAGUGAGUUCUUAGUGAGUGUAGAUAUCCCUUCUAGAGGAGUGACGGUGUAGGCAGGCGCUGCCUAGUCAUCAUGACACACCACACCUUCACUUAUCAAGAGGAUGACUGGAAUGUCUAAGACAAAUGGCUGUGGAGCAGCUACCAGGAAGAGGAAAAACAUGUAGCUCCAUGUACAUUAUGGCUUAAUUUGGUUUAAUAUGUCUCCAGUUAGGCAUGAUGCUGAAAUAACAAUAACUUGCAUUCCUGGUACAUUAGAUACGAUGGGUCCUGUUUGCUCCCUGUUAACCUAUAGUUCCUGCUUCCCAGUCUUGUCUUCCUCUCCGUUUCUUUGUUCUUGUGAAUGUUUUUUCUCCUGCAUGAUGGACCUGUAACGGCAUGCACACCAUUUCCGUCCCUGCACUACUUUAUGCGCAGGCACAUGGUUACUAAUACUUUAGGUGGGAGCACUGAGGCUAAGUGAGUACAUCAUAUGCAUUGUAUUGAUGCAAUCCAUGUGGUGUCAUAGCUCAAUACCAUCAAGGUGAGAUUCCCACUCGGAUGUGUUAAUCCAUGAUUCAGCUUGUGAACCAGUCAGGCUAGAGGUGCAUUUAACAGACACACAUGGAAAAUAAACCCAUCUCACCAUAGGAGCAUGAAAAGAAGUACCUAGUGAACUAUUGUACAAGGAGAUACGACUACUUCAAUACCACAGUGUACAUGAGGCUCAGGCAAGUUGAUUUAUAAUGCAGAAUGUCCUCACUAUUUCAUUAUUGCUACUGUCCAUCAAGACAAGAGGCUACAGGGGUUUAACCACCAACAAUACUUUAUAAUUCAUGAUUGUUCUACACAAUUGAUGAACUUUCCCUAUACUGUUGGUUGCCCUUUUUAGUAUUCAGUGAAUGUUAUGUGAGUUAUAUAAAACACUUUUCCCUUGUUGUUAACAGUAACUGAUAUAAAUUACAACAAACACUGGAAUGUAGCUAUUGCUCACUUUUUUAGUUUUGAUAUAUGCUUAUCAUCGAGUUCUCAAAAUUAUAGCAAUAACAUGCAUGCAUACAUGCCAGAGUCAUUGAAAAGUUGAAAUAUCUAACCACAAAAAAGCAUGUGAUUUGUUGCGCAUUUGAAAUGCACAGUCCUAUACGGAGUAGUAACUUUUCCUCGGGGCGGAAGUUGUACCGUUUGCUGACGCUAGGAGCUGUCCAUGGUGCUGAAGCGUCAGCACCGUAUUAGCUGUCUUGACGGUGCUGACAGCACAGAGAGCCAGGAAUCCGUUUACUGAGCGUUACAAUUAAACGGGCUCUGCGUUUCAGUUGAUUGUUGUCAGAUCUACUUAUUGCUCGACUUGCUAAAUAAGUGCAAAAGCAGCACGGCUUUUCUCUGUGUUUCACAGACCUCACGGACAUUUUAUUUAUCCGUUUGCUUAUUUUGCUCUGGAAAGUAUUUAAUACAAGGACGUAUUCUGUGAGCAGAGAGCGACUUCGACUUCAGUAGACAUGUGUAUAAGAAGAGACGACCAAUUACACGUCAUCUUUACGGUGUUGGUUCUCGCUGCUGCGGUGACAAGCAUACAUGGGCAAGUGUCUUCUCUAGAGAAUGGAAAUGUUGGGGGCCAGAGGAGAGUCGAAGCAGACAGCGGAGCCUUCACACACUCGUCCACACAGGACACAGAGAGUGAGAUCCACCAUUUUACCACAGCAUCCUCCAUGAACGUCCCCAACCACCGACCUGUCUUCAGAGGCUUCGCCCUACAUGAACUCCUGCUCACUAAAGAUUUCCAGGGGGACCAGCGGUUUUUCACAGACCAUGGAGAUGUGGAAGGACAUCCCACAAUGCCCGGCUCUGUUACUGCCUUUGAGGCGGGGGAUGCCUCAACUCGCCUGGUGCCACAUGAGGACGCCCCUGCCUUCUCUGACAUCGCCACUACUGCCACGGUGGCUGCCACAACCCCCCUCACCAUCUCUGCUUCCACAGACCCUGGGCUACUGGUGAGCAUGGCUCAGAAUAACCAGUUUGCCAAGGACAAGGCCAGGGAGGCAGAGAAGGUGGCAGUGACCACAGACUCCCUGACCACCCUUGUAGUGGCAACCACUGCCCCUACAGUCAGUGGCCGCAGCCCCAAUGCCCCCCCCUUCCUGAAUGGAAGCGCCUAUGGUCAGGGGGAAGUUAUCAUGGAAGCCACCCUGCCCCCCCCUGUCCUGACCACCUCAGUUAGGGCGGAGAAAGGUGAGUCAGAGGAACCAGGGGUAAAGAACAAAACAGACCCUGGCAUCCAGCUCACUAAACUGACCGCCUUAUCCACAGGAGAGGUGGAUGAGGGAAUGACCACCACAACCAUCAUCACAACCACCACCAUCACCACCAUGCAGACACCAGGUCCCUGCACUGUGAAUUUCACUGACCCCGAGGGCCACAUCAAGAUUCCACAGCAGCAUUCUGCAGCAUUGUCGUCCGACCCUGGAGUGGAUUGCACCUAUGUGGUGACGGUCUACCUGGGAUACGGGAUUGAAGUACAGGUGCUGAAUGUGAGCCUGUCUGAGGGGGAGGUGAUGACGGUGGAGGACAUGGGGGGACGGGAGUCCUCCAUCCUUGCCAACGAGACCGUCCUGAUGAGGGGUCUGGUGGUGCGCAGCUGGAGCAAUCAGAUCUCCAUCCGUUACCGCAGUGACCAGCAGCCUCGCUCCGGCUCCCUGCUGCUGCUGCGUUACCAAGCCUUCGUUCUAAGCUGUGCCUUCCCUAAGGAGCCAGCCAAUGGGGAAGUAUCAGUGACUCACCUCCAUGCUGGGGGAGAAGCCUACUUCCAGUGUCUGACCGGAUACCAGCUGCAAGGCCCCACCAUGCUCACCUGUCGUAACGCCACUACACCUUACUGGAGUGGAAAGGACCCCAAAUGCCUGGCUUCCUGUGGUGGUAUGAUUAAAAAUGCCACGUUUGGCCGUAUUGUCUCUCCUGGAUUCCCUGGCAACUACAGCAACAACUUGACGUGCCAUUGGGUCCUGGAGGCUCCUGAAGGCCACCGGCUUCAUGUACACUUUGAAAAAAUGGCUUUGGCUGAGGAUGAUGACAGACUCCUUAUAAAGAAUGGGAACAACAUUGACUCCCCUCCGGUGUAUGACUCCUACGAGGUGGAGUACCUGCCCAAUGAGGGCGUGGUGAGCACAGGCCGUCACCUCUUUGUGGAGUUCACCACAGAUGGGACGGUCACCUCUACGGGAGCAGCAAUCAGAUAUGAAGCUUUUGCAAAGGGCACAUGCUAUGGGCCCUUUGUGAAGUAUGGCAACUUCACCAGCAGUGACACGGCCUACGGUGUGGGUGCGGUGGUGGAAUUUGCCUGUGACCCUGGCUACACUCUGGAGCAGGGCUCAGUCAUCAUUGAAUGUCUGGAUGCAGAGAAUCCCCAGUGGAAUGAGACAGAGCCAGCCUGCAGGGCUGUGUGUAGUGGUGAAAUCACAGACUCAGCCGGGGUGGUUCUCUCUCCAAACUGGCCGGAGACCUACGACAAGGGCCAGGACUGCAUCUGGGGCAUCCACGUGGAAGAGGACAAGAGGAUUAUGCUGGACAUCCAAGUGCUUAAUGUGGGUAAGAAUGACCUGUUGACUUUCUACGAUGGUGAUGACCUAACAGCUAACAUCCUGGGUCAGUACAGUGGCACCAGGUCUCGCUUCAAGCUCUACACCUCCAUGGCUGAUGUCACCAUCCAGUUCCAGUCGGACCCUGCCACUAACAUCUACGGCUACGGCAACGGCUUCGUGGUCCACUUCUUUGAGGUCCCCAGGAACGAUACAUGCUCUGAGCUGCCAGAGAUCACCAACGGCUGGAAGAGUACCUCCCACCCAGACCUGAUCCACGGGACAGUGGUCACCUACCAGUGUUACCCAGGUUACGAGGUGCAGGGCUCGGAGAUCCUAAUGUGCCAGUGGGACCUGACGUGGAGCGGAGAUGUGCCUAGCUGUGAGAAAGUAAUGACAUGUCCGGACCCGGGGACUGUGGAGCACAGUCGGAGGGUGCUGACGGGAUCCCGCUUCAUAGUGGGAUCAACGGUGCAGUAUGUGUGCAAUAAGGGCUACUCCCUGUCUGGAAGCACACUGCUCACCUGCUACAACAGAGACACAGCUAACCCCAAGUGGAGUGAGAGGCUUCCCAAGUGUAACCCGGAGAGGUACGAGCCCUGCAGGAACCCUGGCGCCCCAUCCACCAGCGUGCAGAGCUUAGAAAAGGCCUUCUACCAGGCCGGGGAGACCCUGAGCUUCACCUGUCGUACCGGCUAUGAGAUGCAGGGGGAGCCCACCAUCCGCUGUGUCCCUGGACACCCGUCACAGUGGAGCGGCACACCACCCACCUGUAGCGCAUCCUCCUCGCAGUAUUUGAAGGAGCGCAAGUUGGAUGUUGCUAGUCCUGACUACGGUAUGGAAGGAAGCAACAUUGUCAUUGCUGUUCUGAUUCCUGCUGCGGUCGUACUGCUAGUCAUCCUGGGGAUUUACCUCUACUUUGCAAAACUUCAGGGGAAGACCAUCAGAAUGCCAACAUCAUCCUUGCCGCCGUAUGACAACAUGACAGAGGAGUCUGCCUUUAAUAACCCAAUCUAUGAGACAGGAGUAAGUAUGGAUGUCAUGCACAUGAAUCUCCGAGACGUGGACUCCCAGAACACCAUAGUCCUGUCCUGAUCCAUCUCAUCGUCAUCUGUCUGCCUGUCAUCUCAUGUUUAACCAGCUGAGGGCACUCUUCACACCGUCUCCCACCGCAGACACGGGGGUCUGAGCUGUGCCUCUCAAUUUGUGGUCUUGUGUUGAAUGCAGACAAGCACCUACAAAUUAUCUCUCUCAACUUUGAAGCGUGGAAGCCCUACAGUUUACUUAGCUUUAAAGCUUUAUAAAAAUAUGUGCAUUUUCAGUGGAUCAAUAGGAUUGUACAAGCACUCAAUCAGUGGAUUGGAUAAGGGACAGAUGUAGUACACUACACAUAUGCGUUUCCAUUUGUGAUGACCUUUGUAGGAUCCAUUUUUAGCUUUGCACAGUGCUUCUGUUCGGACUAUGCUUCUGGAUAGAUGAAUGUAAUAUUUUACUGCAUGAAGGUGAAAAAGCUUGAACAAAAAUGCUUAAUGUCAACUUCAAAGACACUUUAAAGCUCCUCCAUCUUUGUGUCAUCUUCAUCAUGUCAUUCACAUGGGAUUGAGUUCAUUGAGUCUUAUCCAUUAAUUAGUUUGAAUUACUUUUGAAAAGUGUACAUUUAUGGGCCCUAUCAGGGGCGCAACUUUGGUUUUAGAAGUGGGGGGGACAUAUUUAUUAUUAUUUUGUAUUAUAUGUUUUUUUUUAUCCAGUCGGAUAAACACUCCAAACAGCCUACCUGACCGCUCAGAGAUGUCCGCAUGGUCCUGAAACACAUCGUUGCAUCGUUUUGUAUCACAUUCCAUUGAUAAAACUGGGGGGGCCAAAAAUUCAAUUUCAGAAUGUGGGGGGCAUAUUACCCCCCGUCCCCUGUCCACACCCCGUCCACACCCCCCUAUUCCCCGUCCCCAGUCCCCGUCCUCAGUGAAAGUUGCACCCCUGGACCCUAUUAUAAAUGAUUGUUUUUGAAUCACAUAGGCUAUAACAAAUGUCAAUGUACAAUAAUAGACUGUAUUUACAUCUACACUUAGUAUUGACGUUACUUUUAUGUGCUGCACACAGCAUUUCAGAGCACUUAAAAUAACAACCAAAAUCCUUAGAUUUGACAUAUAGUUUGUCAGGAAUUCUUGUACUUGUCUUACAUAUUCCUUUGUCCAUAAGUCCUUCAUAUCUAUAUAGCUGUGUGUACAAAUAUAUCAGUUACAUGUAUUUGAUAGGUCAUUUAAAUGUAUUUGUUUUAUUUAAUGUGAGUGUUGGAUUUGUUGUGCAAUGUCACAGGCACAUUGUGCAAGCAACAGAAUGCUGCCAUGUCUAUUAUUGUGUUGUGUUAAACUAUUCAUCAUCUCUGUUACAAAUGUUAGUGAUGCAUACAAUUCUCCUAAACUACAGCAACUUUGUGCUUGAUAGACCAUCUGACUUGAAUCAUGCCCUUGAUUCAAAAUGUUUUCCUAUUAGUCACUCUGCUGUGGGACUUGAGCGGAUGCUUUGUCUCUCUCAUUCUUUACUUUCAUGUUCUGGACUCCAUUUUGACUGGACCAUACUCUCCUCCUCCACCUCUUCUUCCCAUCAGCCCCGGCAGGCGUUCUGUGAUUACUAAUGACUGUGUCUGUCUGUCCCUCCUUGGCUGCCUGCAGAAGAACAACGAGGGCAAAGGAGAUUAUGAGGUGACCAUUUAAAGACCUUACAGCUAGGGGAAUUCAGGGGUUUCUUUUUGGGACCCUCUCUGCACCUCUCAUCUUACCUGCAAUGACUUCAGCUCCUAUUCCUCCCUCCUUCCUCUUUCUCUUAAUUCACUCCUUUUUGUGGGCUUUUGUAAAUAUGUCUUUCCAGAGGACUUCUACCAAAACUGCAAAGAUGGUGGAUCAACAUGGUGUUAUUUUUGUAGACCUUUGACGCAGAUGGCCUUUCUUUAGUGUUUGUACAUUUUCAUGUCAUAACUGAGCCCAGGACUGGUAACAUUGUGGGGGGGAUACAUUUAGUUCAAAUGGUUUAGGUUUUAAGAUUUACACAAGAAAUGUGAAGAACAAAUGUACGGUUUAUUCAUUGUCAUGGGUCUUGAAAUAUACAGUAUACAUGAAAAAUACAAAAUGACCCAAAGUUGUUUGAACAUUGUCCAAAUAUCAAUUUCACAUUUACCCUGAGUGAACAUUUGUAUUUUUCAAUUUUGCUACUAAAAUUCAACCAUCCAGUCUAUAUAUGGGUUUUAAAUAUCACUUUGUAAAUAACCUGCCUGUCUAAUAUGAGGGUGUCUGCGACUUGAGGAAACAAAUUAGUGCUUUGUUCAAUUUGACUCACAGUUUUGUUGAGAGACAUUUUCUGUGCUAAAACAACUAUAAAUAUACACUUCCUGUCAAAUUUUUAGAACACCUACUCAUUCAAGGGUUUUUCUAUAUUUUGUACUAUUACCUACAUUGUAGAAUAAUAGUGAAGACAUCAAAAUG
Oncorhynchus mykiss (rainbow trout) is the source of this 7625-nucleotide non-coding RNA. Lineage: Eukaryota; Metazoa; Chordata; Actinopteri; Salmoniformes; Salmonidae. The record is from RefSeq and is a predicted model, not a curated record.